GAGAGCUAUGUUUGGUUUUUGAGAAAAAUAAUGAAAAGAGAAGAAACUUAUAGAGAGAAUGACAGUGGGAGAGUCGGGGGAAUGAGGUAGGAAAAGAAGAAAGAGAAGGAGAAAAAAGAAAAAAAAAAGAGAUAAAUUUACAAAAAUGUCCGUGAGCUUAACGGGUUAAUGGGUGUUGAAGAAAAAUGUCAACCUCCCAACAUAAUUUAACCACCACUAAUUAAAUAAUGGGGUUUUAUUAUUUUAGAUUUGACCCAUUCGAGAUGCGGUGUCUCUUAAUUAUAAUCCCUUACUUCAAGGGAACAACCUUUGAUUCUAUCUUAUAGAAACAGAAUGUCUGUGUUUGGUUUUGCGGCUGCUCCUAAGUCGAACUUUAGGAUGCCUACGUAUCCCUUACAGGAAUCAACCCACUCGUAAUUCAAAGAAUUGCAAUAAAUAAAUGACUCAUUGCAAGGAAAAUUUGAUUUGAAUUGUAUUGAGUG
Molecule: long non-coding RNA, 482 nt
Filed under: Prunus persica (peach)
Lineage: Eukaryota; Viridiplantae; Streptophyta; Magnoliopsida; Rosales; Rosaceae
Description: long non-coding RNA (PPER_LNC003064)
Source: RNAcentral